UCUACAGCUGUUAAUUGUUUCAGUGAAGAUGUUGAUUGUCUUUGUUCUCUACUCUCCAUGAAUUUUAAGUAGCCCAGCUCAUUGCUCAAAUGCUCAUUUACUUAUGAUUUUUAUCAGUUUUACAUUCACCUGUUAAUUGAUAGCUAAGUCUGACUUAUUUCCAAAAAUUAAAACAAAACAGUCAGUAGUUUGUUUGAGAUUCUGUCGGGGCCAGCCACAACUUUUGUUCGAUAUUCUAUACAGCUGUUCAAACGCCAUGGAGACAAGUGCUGUGAACUCAGUCAACCAUAAUCAAUUGCAUGAAAGUGAAUUGAUCGCUGUCCAAAAAAAUCUAAAGAGUUACCAAAAACGAGGUACUAAAUGUCGCCAUAAAUGCAUUAAGCUAACAGUUAUAGCAGCUUUUAUGGGACUGCAUAAUGUUCUAAAUUCAAGAUUGUUAUUGUAAAUGGAGUGAAAUAAAGAAAGGGCUAUACUCACUCUACAGCGAGAAAAUUACUGUA
Molecule: long non-coding RNA, 500 nt
Organism: Stomoxys calcitrans (stable fly)
Lineage: Eukaryota; Metazoa; Arthropoda; Insecta; Diptera; Muscidae
Exons: 2
Source: RefSeq, a predicted model, not a curated record